UGUAAGCGUAUACCAAAGUUGUUGCAGUUAAAACGCUCGUAGUCGAAUUUUGGUGUGAGUUAUGGAGACUCCUACUGGAUGUUGAAGUAACUUCGCCUUUGUGGAGGGGGGUGUGGUGGUACUUUAUUGUAUUGCUGCAUUUCCGCCACUGUUUACUGUGAAAAAAUUAGAGUGUUCAAAGCGGGCGUUUGCCAUGAAUACAUUAGCAUGGAAUAAUAGAAUAGGACCUGGUUCUGUUUUAUUGGUUUGUCUGUAUCAGGUAAUGAUUAACAGGGACGGUCGGGGGUAUUUGUAUUCCAGCGUUAGAGGUGAAAUUCUUGGAUCGCUGGAAGACAGACAGCUGCGAAAGCGUCUACCAAGGACGUUUUCAUUGA
RNAcentral lists this ribosomal RNA (374 nucleotides) under uncultured eukaryote. RNAcentral's name for it is "partial 18S ribosomal RNA". It matches the Rfam family "Eukaryotic small subunit ribosomal RNA", at positions 592 to 976 of the family's 1831-position model. The record is from RNAcentral.